GACAGAGGGGGCAAGCGUUGUUCGGAAUCACUGGGCUUAAAGGGCGCGUAGGCGGACGACCAAGUCGGGGGUGAAAUCUUUCGGCUCAACCGGAAAAUAGCCUUCGAUACUGGCCGUCUGGAGGGAGGUAGGGGCGUGUGGAACUUCCGGUGGAGCGGUGAAAUGCGUUGAUAUCGGAAGGAACUCCGGUGGCGAAAGCGACACGCUGGAUCUCAUCUGACGCUGAGGCGCGAAAGCCAGGGGAGCGAACGGG
RNAcentral lists this ribosomal RNA (253 nucleotides) under uncultured bacterium. RNAcentral's name for it is "partial 16S ribosomal RNA". It matches the Rfam family "Bacterial small subunit ribosomal RNA", at positions 524 to 776 of the family's 1533-position model. The record is from RNAcentral.